UCCUAGUACGAGAGGACCGGAGUGGACGAACCUCUGGUGUUCCGGUUGUCACGCCAGUGGCAUUGCCGGGUAGCUAUGUUCGGAAAAGAUAACCGCUGAAAGCAUCUAAGCGGGAAACUUGCCUCAAGAUGAGAUCUCACUGGGAACUUGAUUCCCCUGAAGGGCCGUCGAAGACUACGACGUUGAUAGGCUGGGUGUGUAAGCGUUGUGAGGCGUUGAGCUAACCAGUACUAAUUGCCCGUGAGGCUUGACCAUAUAACACCCAAACA
RNAcentral lists this ribosomal RNA (269 nucleotides) under Pseudomonas aeruginosa. RNAcentral's name for it is "partial 23S ribosomal RNA". It matches the Rfam family "Bacterial large subunit ribosomal RNA", at positions 2676 to 2925 of the family's 2925-position model. The record is from RNAcentral. Lineage: Bacteria; Pseudomonadati; Pseudomonadota; Gammaproteobacteria; Pseudomonadales; Pseudomonadaceae.